Molecule: ribosomal RNA, 123 nt
Filed under: Chinchilla lanigera (long-tailed chinchilla)
Lineage: Eukaryota; Metazoa; Chordata; Mammalia; Rodentia; Chinchillidae
Source: RNAcentral
AGUGGGGCCCACAGCCACACCAUCUGAAUGCGCCCAAGCUCGUCUGAUCUCAGAGGCUAAGCAGGGUCAGGCCUGGUUAGUACUUGGAUGGGAGAUUUCAGUGGAUAGUCACAUGCCCCAUCA